This is an RNA transcript of Hevea brasiliensis (rubber tree), 2808 nucleotides long. It is a transcript of the gene named bifunctional dihydrofolate reductase-thymidylate synthase, with no coding region annotated. The record is from RefSeq and is a predicted model, not a curated record. NCBI's taxonomy places the organism in Eukaryota, Viridiplantae, Streptophyta, Magnoliopsida, Malpighiales, Euphorbiaceae. The transcript is spliced from 10 exons.
UUAUAAAAAUGCUUUUACAAUAAAUUAAAAAAAAGAAGAUCACAUAUAAACGCGAAUUGAUUUGGAAAUGAAAAGAUCCCUAACGAGAAUUGAAUCAAAAUCCAACCAUAUUUGGUUAUCAAACCAAAUUAAAGAUUUUCUUCCCAGUUUUACUUCCCUUCAGUUGUCUCCUCUGGUCUCUGUGCACCUUUCCUUCCCAUCAAUGAAAGCUUCUUCGGUUCUUCCCAAUUUCGUCGUCGGAAAAUUGCGUAAGCACUCGUCUCACUUUGGCGUUUGGAAACAAUAACCACUCUCCCUUUUCUUUGUGGGUGCAGGCGCAAUCCUUAUGGAGUUGACUGAGGUGAGUUAUGCGACUUCAUUUAAUUCUAACUUUUACUUGGUUUUGUAGAAACGAAAUACUGAUUUUUUUUCUCAAUUAUAAUUUUAUUUUCUUUUGUAAAUACCCAACUGGGUAUACAAUGUAUUUCAAUGCAAAUGACUCUUCAGUCUUCACAGAGUGAUGUACGCUUGCUUGUAAGACAUUCGCUACUCACCAAUUACAUGUGAUGAUUUUAUUAUCUUCUUUGAUUGUGGAAAAUCUCUCUAAUACUGAACAAAUUGGAAGUGUUCUUUUACUUCUGUUGCCCCUUUUCUUAUUUUCUUGUGUGUUUCUUUUAUGAAGAGGAUUUUUUUUUUUUUUCUAACCUGUUGGAGACAAAUGGGUGGAUCUGGCUAACCUUCAGCAGAUAUGCAGAUGUUGAUACAGCAUUGCACUCAGAAGAGUAUGCUCUUUUCAAAGGUUUUACUGGGUUCUUGUAAAAAUAGCUUCUGCAAUGAUCGUCUUGUGUCCGCAGCCCCCAAACUACAUAGAGCAUCUUAUAUAACUUCGAAGUACAGAACUUGCAAAAGAUUUUCUGUUAUGUCUGGUGAUGUUCCAAGGAGCUUUCCUAGUGGCGAUGCCACUACACACCGUGAUCCUAGGAGUUACGAAGUUGUGGUUGCUGCGACUCAUGAUAUGGGCAUUGGGAAGGAUGGGAAGUUACCAUGGAGCUUACCAUCUGACCUUAAAUUUUUCAAGGAGCUUACAUUGAGCACGUCAAAUCCUGGGAAAAAGAAUGCGGUGAUAAUGGGUAGGAAAACAUGGGAGAGCAUUCCUUUCAGGUACAGACCCCUACCGGGACGUUUGAAUGUUGUCCUGACUCGUUCUGGAAGUUUUGACAUCACAGCUGCAAAAAAUGUUGUAAUAUGUGGAAGCAUUCCAUCAGCUCUGGAAUUACUGGCAGAAGCACCUUACUCUUUCUCAAUUGAGAGGGUGUUUGUCAUAGGAGGUGGUCAGAUAUUGAGGGAAACAAUUAACGCACCAGGAUGUGAUGCCAUCCACAUUACUGAAAUUGAGACAAGCAUUGAAUGUGACACCUUCAUUCCAGCUAUUGAUUCUUCUUUAUUUCACCUUUGGUACUCAUCUCUACCAUUAGUGGAAAACAAUAUUCGAUAUUCUUUUGUGACUUAUGUUCGUGUAAAGAAUUCAGAAAAUGGAACUCCUUUUAAAAGCACCGCAGCAAAGUAUAAUGGUAAUCUAAAUUCCACCAAGUUUGAGACAAAGAAUUUUUCCUUUCUUCCAAAGGUUAUUUUUGAGAAACAUGAUGAGUAUAUGUAUCUAAGACUGGUUGAAGAAAUUAUUUCAAGUGGAAUCCUGAAAGAUGACAGGACAGGGACUGGUACCCUAUCAAAAUUUGGGUGUCAGAUGCGUUACAAUCUGCGCAGAUCUUUUCCACUCCUUACAACCAAGAGAGUGUUUUGGAGAGGAGUUGUUGAAGAACUUUUAUGGUUUAUUAGUGGUUCAACAAAUGCAAAGGUUCUACAGAAGAAAAAUGUUCACAUCUGGGAUGGAAAUGGAUCGAGAGACUACCUUCACAGUAUUGGCCUGAAAGAUAGAGAACAGGGCGACUUAGGACCCAUAUAUGGCUUCCAAUGGAGACACUUCGGUGCUAGAUAUACAGACAUGCAUGCUGACUACACAGGGCAAGGGUUUGAUCAACUAGAAGAUGUUGUUGACAAGAUCAAGAAUAGACCAGAUGACAGACGCAUUAUCCUCGCAGCAUGGAAUCCGUCAGAUCUCAAAUUAAUGGCACUCCCACCUUGUCACAUGUUUGCACAGGUCUUGUUCCUGGUGAUUUUAUCCAUGUGAUUGGAGAUGCUCACAUUUAUAGAACUCAUAUCGGGCCUCUGCAGAAGCAGCUACAGAAGCUUCCUAGACCUUUUCCAAUAUAUACUGCUAUAUGGAGACCAAAAAUCCGUAUCUUCCCUUGGUUUAAAACUGAUCAUCAAACUACAGUCCUUUGCAGUUGCAGCUAUUAAAUAAUCCUUUACCAUCUUCAAGCUCUCAUCCAAAGGAAUGGAAUGCAAGGAGGCAUACCUAGGUUGAAGUCUUGCUUCAUCCAAUUCACUACAUACCAUGCAAGGCUGAGAAAUAAUGUUAUAAUAAGCAUGAAUUGCCCCUUCAAUGUCAAAAUUAUCAAGCUUUUGGACUUCAAGAAGCCGAUCCAGUACUCGAGAACUAUAGACUGUCUCAGCCACAAGCUCUAUGAAACUCCUUGUACGCAAACCAUCAUCUGCCUGGAUGAGUCCCUUCAGUGCAUCUUCAAAAGCCUUUUCAAUCACACAACUAGUUUUAUUUGUGCCACCACCCAAGCCCCCAAAUAUAAUAGAUCCAUUUAAGAAUACGCGGAAAUUGUUCUGCGGGGUGUUGUAAAGAUCAUUGAUAGCUUUAUGUAUUCUUUCCUUGGAACCAGAGAAAAUAUCCAAUGGAUCAUAUUGACUUAACUCCGA